UGCGCAGGCGGAAUAAUAAGUCAGUGGUGAAAUCUCUCGGCUCAACCGAGAAACUGCCAUUGAUACUGUUAUUCUUGGGUAUAGUUGUAGUGGGCGGAAUAUAGCAUGUAGCGGUGAAAUGCUUAGAUAUGCUAUAGAACACCGAUCGCGAAGGCAGCUCACUAAACUAUAACUGACGCUCAGGCACGAAAGCGUGGGGAGCAAACAGGAUUAGAUACCCUGGUAGUCC
This 229-nucleotide ribosomal RNA is filed under the name uncultured bacterium. RNAcentral describes it as "partial 16S ribosomal RNA". It matches the Rfam family "Bacterial small subunit ribosomal RNA", at positions 568 to 796 of the family's 1533-position model. The record is from RNAcentral.